GACGAACGCUGGCGGCGUGCUUAACACAUGCAAGUCGAACGGUGAAGCGCCUUCCUUUUUGGUGGGUGUGGAUGAGUGGCGAACGGGUGAGUAACACGUGAGUAACCUGCCCCCUUCUUCUGGAUAACCGCAUGAAAGUGUGGCUAAUACGGGAUAUUCUGGGUCUGUCGCAUGAUGGGUCUGGGAAAGAUAUUGUUUCGGUGGGGGAUGGGCUCGCGGCCUAUCAGCUUGUUGGUGGGGUGAUGGCCUACCAAGGCGGUGACGGGUAGCCGGCCUGAGAGGGUGGACGGUCACACUGGGACUGAGACACGGACCAGACUCCUACGGGAGGCAGAAGUGGGGAAUAUUGCACAAUGGGCGCAAGCCUGAUGAAGCGACGCCGCGUGAGGGAGGGAGGCCUUCGGGUUGUGAACCUCUUUAGCCAGUGAAGCAGGCCUGCCUCGUUUGUGGGUGGGUUGACGGUAGCUGGAUAAGAAGCGCCGGCUAACUACGUG
This 494-nucleotide ribosomal RNA is filed under the name uncultured bacterium. RNAcentral describes it as "partial 16S ribosomal RNA". It matches the Rfam family "Bacterial small subunit ribosomal RNA", at positions 28 to 507 of the family's 1533-position model. The record is from RNAcentral.